This 1444-nucleotide ribosomal RNA is filed under the name metagenome. RNAcentral's name for it is "bacterial SSU rRNA". It matches the Rfam family "Archaeal small subunit ribosomal RNA". The record is from RNAcentral.
UCCGGUUGAUCCUGCCGGAGGUCACUGCUAUCGGGAUUCAACUAAGCUAUGCGAGACGCGAGUCAUCUGGACUCGUCGAACUGCUCAGUAACACGUAGUUAACUUACCCUCAAGUGGAGGAUAAUCCUGGGAAACUGGGGCUAAUACUCCAUAGUUGUAUCAUACUGGAAUGUUUUUACAACCAAAGCUCCGGCGCUUGAGGAUAGGACUGCGGCCUAUCAUGGCUGUUGUGAGUGUAAAGUACUCACAAACCUGUAACGGGUAGGGGUCAUGAAAGUGAGAGCCCCGAGAUGCUUUCUGAGACAUGAAAGCAGGUCCUACGGGACGCAGCAAGCGCGCAACCUUUCCAAUGGCUUAACGGUCGAGAAGGGAAUCCUGAGUGAUUAUACUAUGUAUAGUCUUUUACUUUGUCUAAAACGCAAGGCGAAUAAGAGGUGGGUAAGACGGGUGGCAGCCGCCGCGGUAAUACCCGCGCCUCGAGUGGUGACCACUAUUAUUGGGUUUAAAGCGUCCGUAGCCGGUUUGGCAAGUUUUUGGUGAAAUCCAAUAGCUAACUAUUGGGCUUGCUGAGAAUACUACCAGACUUGGGAUUGGGAGAGGAUAGGGGUAUUCCAUGUGUAGGGGUUAAAUCCUUUAAUCCAUGGAGGACCACCGGUGGCGAAGGCGCCUAUCUGGAACAAGUCCGACGGUGAGGGACGAAAGCGUGGGGAGCAAAUGGGAUUAGAUACCCCAGUAGUCCACGCCGUAAACGAUGCCCGCUUGAUGUUGCAAACUUUACGAGAGUUUGCAGUGUCGGAGUGUAAAUGUUAAGCGGGCCACCUGGGGAGUACGGCCGCAAGGCUAAAACUUAAGGGAAUUGGCGGGAGAGCACACAAGGGGUGUGAGCUGCGGUUUAAUUGGAUUCAACGCCGGAAAACUCACGAGUGUUGACAGCAGAAUGAAGGUCAUCCUAACGGGGUUACCAGACAAGCUGAGAGGUGUUGCAUGGCCAUCGUCAGCUCGUACCUUGAGGCGUGCGGUUAAGUCCGUUAACGAGCGAGACCCACGCCAUCAUUUGCUAUCAUAUUGUAAGUUCUUACGAACCGAAUAUAUGAGCACUAUGAUGGGACCGCUGGUGAUAAACCAGAGGAAGGAGUGGGCGACGGUAGGUCAGUAUGGCCCGGAUAUCCUCGGCUACACGCGGCCCGCAAUGGCUAGGACAAAGCGCUGCAACACCGAAAGGUGAAGCCAAUCGCCCAAACCUAGCCCAAGUUCAGAUUGUGGAUUGUAAUUCAUCCACAUGAAGCUGGAAUCCCUAGUAAGCGAAUGUCAUCAUCGUUCGCUGAAUAUGUCCCUGCUCUUUGCACACACUGCCUGUCAAGCCAUGCGAGUAGAGUUUUGAUGAGGCCAGCUUUAACUGUGUCGAAUCAGGGCUUUGCGAGUGGGGCUAAGUCAUAACAAGGUA